Salvia splendens (bonfire salvia) is the source of this 1663-nucleotide long non-coding RNA. RefSeq lists it as uncharacterized. The record is from RefSeq and is a predicted model, not a curated record. Lineage: Eukaryota; Viridiplantae; Streptophyta; Magnoliopsida; Lamiales; Lamiaceae. The transcript has 2 exons.
CGUCCGUCUUUCUCUCCCUCACUUCCUCUUCUCAAUCACAAAUCCCCAAUCUCAAUUUUAGGAACCCUAGUUCUCUCCACUUUUCUUCUCGGCGAAUCUUACCGCGUCGGCCAGCGACGAGCCGUACCACGCCACCAUAUCCCUGCUCACGCCCCUAUCGCCGACAGGCAGCAGCCAGCUCCACGGCUUUCUCGGAGUCCUCGUUGUGGAACUCCAUUCAUCGGCGCCGUUUGCACCUCUGUCGUCGGUAGGAUGCGUGGGUAGCGGUCCCGGCGCUGUCAGCGUGCCACCCUAGCCUCCUCUCACACUCUGCCGACACUCAUGCCCGGUGCUCGCAACACCGUCGCCAGAGCCCAGCCGGUCUCUCGCUUCUUCGCGAGGCUUCUGCCGUCUGUGGUUCGUGCGAGGAGACUCAAGGCGUCGCCAUUUCUGCUUCGUCACAUCUCUGACCUCACGGCUCUUCAUCGGAGUCGGUCGUUGCUCGCAGCUCUGCCUCUCGGUUCCGAAGCUAAGUUUCUAACUCUCUUUUCUUAUUUUGUGGAGUUAGGUGGCGUUGUGUUCAAGCUGAAAGGUUUUAUGAUUGUGUGAUCGGUGUUGGCUUAUCGUGUUAAGUUUCUGUUCGGGGAAAUCCCUCGUUUUGUUGGUGAUUUGGUUUUCCUUCCGAUCUAUGCUUAGGGCUUGUUCUAGUUUAACUUGGCACCCUAUGAUUGUGUCGAAAAGUUAUAAAUUCACGGCUGUUGCUACCUAUGUGAAUUCGUUCUAUUGCUAUAGAUGUGUUGCCUUAAUGUGAACCUCGGUUCUCAUGCUAUCUCGUGUUGAAUGCUACAUGAUGAGUUGAUGCAAUUAUCAUUGUUUGAGUUUGAGAGAGAACGACCUUACCUCUCUCUCUCGGCUCAAGCUUCAGUUAUCUUGCUGCCUCGGUUCCUCUCACUGAAUUGUAAUUGCUUGCGAUAAUGAGGGAGACAGAGGUUGAGGCCUAUUUACACUUGUGACCUAACUGAAAGCCUUGAAAAAGGCUGACAUCCCUGGCUGGCAGGUAGUCCUUAAUGGACUGAUUUGGCUGUUACCUCUGCAGCAAUUUCGCAGGGUGUACUCGUGAGCUGGACGAGCUUAUGGCUCCUGGCUAUGUUCUGAAUUUAUAACUGAUUUUGGUGUUUUGUGCUGCCAUGUAACCUGGCUCAUUCAUGAGUUUUGUCUCCUUUUGGCAGGUAUUCAUAGAGAUGGGAGGGUUUGUGGGCGAUCUUCCCAGCCAUAGCAGCUUUGAGGGGAAUACCACUGCCGGUUGCUGCCUUGCAGGGAUUCUGUAGCUGCUGGUUGGGUUGUACCGGCCGGACCUCCCUUUUCUAGCCCAUCUUUCUCUCAUUAUCCGAAAGGUGUUGGCAGCCUUGCGUGGCUAGCCGCAGAGAGGGUGCUCCUUUCAUGUCUCGCUCAUUCGGGCAUUACUGAAAUCUGGGCCGAGGCGGCCUAUUGAUGAAAUCGACAUAGUUGCUAGGGCUUCAACCAUGUAAUAGUAUAGUUCGACUUACUUCCCAACAUGUACGACAAGUUCGAUGUUAGUUGGCAUUUUUAUUUCUUUCUUGCAUCUUGUAAUUAAUUAGCUUUGAAAUUUUGGAAUUUGUAUUUAUACUCUUAUUCAAGAAAUAAAAUACUCCUUCAUUCUUUA